AAAAAAAUGGCUUCGGAAUCAUCGUCGGCGGUAUCCCCGAUGACGGUGGAAGAGUUGACGCUGGCGGUGAAAUGGAGCGGUAAAGAGCACACGGUCAGAGUCUGCGGCGAUGACACCGUCGGCGAGUUGAAACGACGGAUAUGUGAAGUCACAAAUGUUUUACCUAAACGCCAGAAGCUUCUAUACCCAAAAGUUGGUGCAAAACUCGCUGAUGAUUCUCUUCUUCUAUCUCAAAUUCCUCUCAAAUCCUCCUUCAAAAUGACUAUGAUCGGGACAGUUGAAGAUGAUAUAAUUGUGGAU
RNAcentral lists this unclassified non-coding RNA (300 nucleotides) under Hevea brasiliensis (rubber tree). The record is from RNAcentral. Lineage: Eukaryota; Viridiplantae; Streptophyta; Magnoliopsida; Malpighiales; Euphorbiaceae.